This 800-nucleotide ribosomal RNA is filed under the name marine metagenome. Its description in RNAcentral is "bacterial SSU rRNA". It matches the Rfam family "Bacterial small subunit ribosomal RNA", at positions 8 to 856 of the family's 1533-position model. The record is from RNAcentral.
AGAGUUUGAUCAUGGCUCAGAACGUACGCUGGCGGCACGCCUUAUACAUGCAAGUCGAACGAAGUAGCAAUACUUAGUGGCAGACGGGUGAGUAACAUGUAGGUAUCUUCCCUUUGGUGAGGAAUAACACGAGGAAACUUGUGCUAAUACCUCAUAAGUCUUUACGGAGAAAGCUUUAUGCGCCGAAGGAUGAGCCUGCACUUGAUUAGUUUGUUGGUGGGGUAAUGGCCUACCAAGACUUUGAUCUAUAGCUGAUCUGAGAGGAUGAUCAGCCACAUUGGGACUGAGACACGGCCCAAACUCCUACGGGAGGCAGCAGUAGGGAAUAUUGCACAAUGGAGGAAACUCUGAUGCAGCGAUGCCGCGUGAGUGAAGAAGGCCUUUGGGUUGUAAAGCUCUUUCGUCGGGGAAGAAAAUGACUGUACCCGAAUAAGAAGGUCCGGCUAACUUCGUGCCAGCAGCCGCGGUAAUACGAAGGGACCUAGCGUAGUUCGGAAUUACUGGGCUUAAAGAGUUCGUAGGUGGUUAAAAAAGUUGGUGGUGAAAUCCCAGAGCUUAACUCUGGAACUGCCAUCAAAACUUUUUAGCUAGAGUAUGAUAGAGGAAAGCAGAAUUUCUAGUGUAGAGGUGAAAUUCGUAGAUAUUAGAAAGAAUACCAAUUGCGAAGGCAGCUUUCUGGAUCAUUACUGACGCUGAGGAACGAAAGCAUGGGUAGCGAAGAGGAUUAGAUACCCUCGUAGUCCAUGCCGUAAACGAUGUGUGUUAGACGUUGGAAAUUUAUUUUCAGUGUCGCAGCGAAA